This 2158-nucleotide long non-coding RNA is filed under the name Nicotiana benthamiana. RNAcentral's name for it is "long non-coding RNA (NBEN_LNC035807)". Lineage: Eukaryota; Viridiplantae; Streptophyta; Magnoliopsida; Solanales; Solanaceae. The record is from RNAcentral.
UUCAGGCAUAAAUUCUCAAAUCAGUGACAUUACCACAACCUUUAUACUUGGUUUAAAUCUUCGAUCAAUCAAGUGACUACAUGUCACACUUAUACAAUCCUCCCAUGAGAUACGCUCCCACGACCUUCCGUACUAGGUAACAAGUCUGCACAUCAUUACCGCCAGCUGCACUAAUGCUGCAAGGCUGAUCAAGAAUCUAUAACCAGGAUCCAAAGCCUCUUUCACAAGACACUGAUCUCAUAGGUCGCUAAAGACAAUAUCAGCUUACUCUAACCAUUCAAUCCCUUUCCUUCUCAUCUGAGUUCGUGACAUAUUUGCCAACACCGAACUGCAACCUUGAUCCUCACUUUUGAAUUUCAUACCAUUCACUACACCUGACAUGCCAAUAUGAGAUAGUACAAGAAUUUUAUUAUAACUCCUGAACCACUAAUAGAGUGAACACUUCAUCACAUAGAAACAUUUUUACUUAACUCACUCCAAGAGAACUAUAGCAACACAUGAGUGAAUUCUCAUAACUUUAGAACAUAAAAAUCCUCAAGUAGUGGUCUAAUCCACCAUAACCCUUCCUGGAUCCGCCUAUAUAUAAAAGACCAAAAUACUUAGGUAUUUCCAAAUUAAAUCAAUUACAGUAGCCCUCGAGCCUCGCACGUACCAUCACAAAUCACUUGCAUCACUUAAUCAUGCUGAAGGAAUUGAUCACCGCCAUCAUCAUGUCGAUUCAACCAUGGCUAACCAAUCUAAUUUCUUCUAAUUUAUACUUAACUUGCCUUAUCAAUAUUAAUAGCUCCAUUACUUGCAUCAUGAACCUAAUUCUGCACGGCCCCAAGUGACCCCAUUCCACUAGACCAUAUUGUCUCCAAACCCAUGAACUGUUCCAUGCCCUUCUUGCACACACAUUCGUAUCAACCGAUAUACCCAUUCGGAUAAUUCAUCCAUGAAUCCGAAGUCAUUUUCUCUCCUUUCUUCAAAUGCUACACUACAAGCCGAAGGUAUCAUAGGACAUGCCGAGCCUCUCAUCAUAAGCCGUUGCAAAAUCUCAAUCCUUAACCAUGAUGCGGGCCUAAAAUCCUUAGGCACCAUAUUUUAACCUUUGAAUUUACUAGGACUGUUGUCGAGAGUCACCCACUCUGGCUUGGUCCCACAUAUAAUCAACUCCAAGGCUCCGCUGGCACAUGAACACCCAUCUUAAUAAAGCACCCAGACGAAUCACUCCCCUUGUAAAUAACCUAUGUAUGAACAUAAAUCUUGAAUCUUCCCAAAGCCCGAACAAGACUCGAUAAGGCCAUUUAUGACACACAUUUCUCAGAUCAUUUGCUCAAGGAACCUCUCAUGUUCUAUUCCCCUAACUGUAAUAACUCAGCUAUAUGCCGAUAACCCAAAACCUCAUAAGUAGAUAACCAUGCAACCCAAUCAUAGGCGGUGAGAUUCUCUCACUUAGCUUGAAGCCACCAUUACAUAACUCUGUAAUCCAUCAAGAUUCUUUCUUCAUCAUUGACAUGAUCUUACAUAACCAACUCGCCAAAUUCCUCUAAAUCCUUCUGUUUGACUUUUCUUGAACACUCUGUAUCACUAACCACCUUUACUUAUCCGACCUCUUACCGUAUACACGAUCGAAGUCUUCGCAUAAGUUUCGUCAAUAUCACACCUUCUUUUAUACCUACACCCCCAGAAGGGUGCAGAAGGGAGUUUUUCCAAUUAAAGGACAAUUGAAACGGUAUUAUUUGUUUAUCUAAAAUUUAGAGUCACCACUUGGAAUAUUUUAUGGUGUCCCAAGACACCGGUUCAAAUCCCGAGUCGAGGAAAAGAUUGACUCUGUUUUUGAUAGUCUGUGAACCAGAAAUCCGGGUAAGGAAUAUUGUGAACUCGGGACAAGGUGUUAGCCAUUCCCGAGUUUCGUGGUUCUAGCACAGUCGCUUUGAUCAUACUCGGCUUAUUAAAUCGUUUAAUUACCCUUUUAAAACCUAUGUGCUUUUGACUUUUUAUUGCUUUUAAUUAAUAAAAGAAUCUUGAAACGGGUCAUGCGUACGUAUACCCGUUUGUUUGGAGCGUCAAAAUCAUGUCACGCGAACGUGUCCACAAUUAAUAACUCUUUAUUAUUAUUAAGAAAAUUUGGUCGGAGUUGCACGAACGCAUACUCCGGCUUUAUUUUUUAGAAAUC